This is a long non-coding RNA of Bolinopsis microptera, 5189 nucleotides long. RefSeq lists it as uncharacterized. The record is from RefSeq and is a predicted model, not a curated record. NCBI's taxonomy places the organism in Eukaryota, Metazoa, Ctenophora, Tentaculata, Lobata, Bolinopsidae. The transcript has 3 exons.
ACUGGUUACCUAGCUUACUGGUUACCUAGCUUACUGGUUACCUAGCUUACUGGUUACCUAGCUUACUGGUUACCUAGCUUAUUGGUUACCUAGCUUACUAGUUAUGUUACCUACUUACCAGUUGCUUGCCAGACUAACUUUGUGGUUAGCAUCGAAAUUGUUUACAAGUAGAGUUUAUAGACAGCCGUCAACGCAUUAGACUUUUGGAGUGUGGGUCGCUGAGUGGCUUCCUCGUAAAGCUGCUUCAAAUUCCUGUGUAGUGUUUCACCUGUUCCUGACAUCCAUUUCUUAAUUUUGCUUCCUGGCCUGGUUUGAUAGCUGCCCAUGUGCCCGGUUCAGUUCACAGCUAAUCUUACAAAAUUGCACUUUUUUGGUUUUUGAGAGAGCCUCUAACCUUUUAAACUAGUAACGAUCUCUGUUACUAGUUUAAAAGGUUAGUAUUAACCUUUUUUCGUUAAGACGUUUACUUUAUUUUUAUAUUCGUUACACAUUUUGUAUUCCAUUAUAUUUAAUUACAAAAUGAUUAACCUGCUCAUAUCAGUGUCGUAUUUUAGGUACUAGACUCAGGUCAGCGAUCAAGCAGCCUAUUCCAAUUUCUUCGUCAAUUAGAUCAACAUCGAUCUUGAAUCAGAAUAUCAAGGUACCAGAUUCCGGUCGGAGAUUAAGCUGCGUUUCAGAUAUUUUCAAUAUCUUAAUUUACUGAACAAUGGAGAACUAUUUAAAGAACGGAGAAGAAAUAUUCCUCAAGUUCUGCACCUCUAAUGACAAACGACCCACUGAUGACAAACGACCCACUAUGUUGCCGAGAGCUCCAGAUCAGACGUAUAUAGACAGGUACCCGGAUAGUAGUAGUGACUUCGAAGAUGAACGACGACGACAAUCUGAUUAUGAGGCCGAAGUUAUGGUGUAUAGGGCAUUGGAGAAAUUACCGGACAAUAAGAUCAUCGUUCUUCAUAACUUUCAAUUCACGCACUUCCAAUACUAUUUGUGCGAUAAAAAUCAUGUGAAAAAGGGUUGUCGUUCAUGUAGAUCUAAAGAUAUUGUAGGGGAGUGCGAUUUUUUAAUUUUAUGUCCAGGCUCCAUUGUUAUAAUCGAAGUUAAGAACAUGUCUCACAUUGAGAUCGAUGAUGUUGCGAUUAACAAGGAAGAGCACUAUCGAGCAUUAUUUGGUACGUUCAAAAAGUCAGUUAAGCAGAGAAAGAAGAUAGAAUCUCUGAUUCAAUGUAUGGACAAGGACACAACUAUAUGUCAGUUCACUGCAUAUCCUAAUUUCAAAAAACAAUUUAAAGGACAGUUCCUGGCUAGUGAAAAUAUAGGAUUUCAGCUAAGCGAUUUAGAAUUAUCAACAGUGAUAUUUCAUGAGGACAUAUCAAGUUUUGGUUCUUGGUGGAAUAACAACGCAGCAAUAGCUCAAGAUACAACGUCAACAGUUAAUGAUGCAUUUCAAAAAGUUAGAGAUAUCUUACUUGCUAUAUGGUCUACCGAUAAAUACUACGAUAAAUCGAAAUGUAGUUUAGGAAACUGCAUAUCAAACAUUGAUGAACGGCUCAGAUCAGGAAAAUUUAUUUUUUUACCAAAAAAAGGGAAGAAGGGUGCACAGAAUCCUGGAGUUGUAACAGCUCCUGCUGUUAUCAAAAACUAUGUCAAAGUGGAUAACCUGACAGCAGAACAAAGUAAAGCGUUCGAAUCAAGCGAGGAUCUGUUGUGGAUUAAUGGACCCGCAGGAGCGGGGAAAAGUGUGAUACUUUGCGGUAGAAUGAUACAACUUGUACAACAACUUAAUGAGGACAAUAAAGUUGUGUUAUUCAAAUUCGGCGGUGAAGGUAAUAACUGUGAGCUGUAUCAGAGUGCAUUAAAGAAUGCUGAUGUCGACUGUCGAGAGACCAGCAUGUCUGACGUCACAGAACUAGUUACUCUAAUAUCAGAGAGUGAGUGUAAAGUUAUCAUUGUAGAGAUAACACAUGGGGAUAUACAGAAGUUAACAGACACAAUCAGUGCUGUGACCAACUGUCACAUAUUUAUUGAUGAUAUACAGGAGUUAUUAUAUUACAGCUCAACUAAGAAGUGUAGUGUGCUGAUGGACAAGUUGUUAUUAUUAAAGUGCACUGUCAUGGUUGCAUGUGACAUGGCACAGGGUUUUUGGAGUUUGAAUAAAAAGGGAAUUAUUGACGACCUGAGAAGGAUAUCUGACAAACUAUCAUCCACUCAGUUGGUACGCUUAUCAAUGAGCCUUAGGAACACAUGUGAUUUAUCUGACAUCUUAUGUGUAAUACGAGAACAAUUAAGAGAAUUUUCAGAAAUACCUGAUGUAUUAGAUAUGAUUUUACCUACACAAUUGCAAGGACACUUCAUACACGGUACAUUGCCUGUCAUGCAUGUGUUUAAUGAUUUCAAUGUUACUAGUAUUAUGCAUGUAUUUAAUAAUGAAUUAGAUAGAUUGUGUGAUGAAUUAAAUUAUUCUGAUAUAGGUAUAGUACAUACUGAUGUCACUAGUAGUGUAGAGUCACUAGUUAAGAACAGUGUUAAUAUGAGAUGUGAUAACACUGAUAGUAAGAUUGCAGUGUGUGACAGUGCGGAUAGUUCCUCUGCAGAGUGGCCAGCUGUAAUAGUACUGCUCACAGUGAGGUGGUACAGUAGUGAGGAGCUGGACCUGACUCACCUUUACUUAGCGUUAUCCAGAGCACGUGUUUACUGCUCUGUUGUUAUAUUCCCAUUGGAGGGUAGAACAUUAGACGAUGCACCUCACAUGUUACCUUUGUUAGAUAAACUGAGUAACUUUGCUCGUAUUAUACGGCAUUAAAUUAUAUAUUACUGUGUAAUAACGUUGGUGGGUGACUAGUUCAAUUUUUCAGAAACAUGUAUACACAAGCCUUCAAUGCGUUGAUUAAUUGACGAUUUUUGAAAUUUUGACCCAGCCGGGAUUCGAACUCGCAACCUCCGGGUUAAAGGGCCAAGGCUAACCAAUUGUACUAACCAAUUACGCCACUGAGGCGACAUUUGUACAAAUAUAUUAGGCUAGCAAUUAUGACUUGUAGAUAAUUUCACCCACUAACCUAAGUAUUGUUAUUAUUUAAUUGUGUUUCCUUUUUGAUUUAUUGCUAAAUAUUACAGUGUUUUGUAUCGAAAUGUUUUAUACAAUAAUAUGAAUGGGCCUGAAUAAACAUAGUAAUUACAUUACUGUCAUUCGUGGUUUGGAAACAGAAAAAUUACUCCAAUUAUGAAAAAUGUCAAAAAGUAAAAAAGGUACUAGUCUGCCUAAUAAUCUAUUAGCUAUUGGUUAUUAAUAUAAUUCACUUACAGUUAUAAUAGCAGAAAAUAGAUUCUAAAAUGGAUUCUAAAAUAGAUUCUAAAAUAGAUUCUAAAAUAGAUUCUAAAAUAGAUUCUAUUUUUUUUUCUAUAAAGUACAGAACUUGAAACUAGAUUUUGAGAAAAGCAAAACAUUUGUCCGGAAAACGUAGCCAUCUUAGAAAAGCGAUAAAAUUAAUUCACAAUUGUCCACUGAAAAACAUCGUAGAUAACAGGUCAACGCAACGUCGCGUUGCCCAUGAUAUGAACGGUUAUCAAACUGUCAACCAAAGCAAAGAGAACAGAUGGCAACUAAAUUGUCCGAUUAUAUGCGCGCGCGAAUUUUAUAAAAACUGCACGGGUCGAAUUACUGCAAUGCGCGCAAUUUGUUGAGCGUGCUAAAUCCCUUUAAUUUACAGUCGAUUUGCGAUUGGGUUACGGUUGGAAUCAGAUUGGAGGGUUAAAGUUUCGAAAUUCGAAUAAUAGUCAAUCAAGGCCACAUAAAGAACGUUUUACAAAUAUUACGUAAUAAAUGAGUAAAGAGUUUUGUUUAUUUGGGGACCAGCUUUUGGCUUUGCUUUCUGGCCAAUGUUUACUUCAAAUAUAUGUAAUAUAUUAAGACUUACUGGGCCGCGCUCAUGGCCUGUCAUUCCGCCGAAUCUUUAUUAUUUUUAUGAACAUAAUAGCCUGAGGUCCCCAGGUAAAUUAGGACGCAAUGAAACUACCGGACCACGAUGUAUGGGGACUUGCCACCCCAUGGCAACAUCAAAAUAUAUCGACUCUGUUAUUACAUCGCUUCCUGUUAAUAUAAAACUCCGUUAUAUUUAUAUUACAAAUUAAUUAUGCUAAUUAGGCUCUCGAGAACUGUUUAGUCCUGCAUUAUCACUUUAAAAAGCAAAAAACUGUGCGCUAAAACAUGUUGCAAACACUCGACAAAUCAAUUAAUUCACCACAAAAUAUAUUUGACCCAUAUUAUCCAUCGGCCUCAGUUUCAAUUUUAUCUCUACAAAGGAUUUUAUCAGCUCUUUAUGAAAAAGACUUUAUCCUUCUCUUUUGCCUCACCUCCUAGCUUGACUAAGAGUAAGUCUCUUUGAAUUUGGCGUUUUUCAGUAGAUCGAUCUGGACAGACGAAAACAGUUUUCUUCUCAGUUAUCUUCUCUGUUAUUCUCAGAUUCUUAGUGUUGGCGACAAGCUGAUCAACAACUAUUGAGCUUACUACUUUUACUUUGACGGGCCGCGCAGUAACUGAAUUGCCUUUAAAUGUCCUGCCAAUUCUGCACGCUUCAACUAUCUUCGGUUUCUGUCCAAUGUUUUGGAAAAUCUCGCUAACUGUGUCAAUAAGAUCGCUAUCGCUCCCUUCUGACAGACCAAAUACAAUGACGUUGCGACUGCGGUCCUCUUCCUCAACAACACGUUUGACUACGCUUUUAAGCGUUUCCGAACUGAUGACUUGCUUAGUUGGCCGUGAGUGUGAAUUCUUCACGAUUGAGCUGUACGUUUUGAAUUCGGUAUUAACUGGAAUUCGGUUUUAACAGGUAAAAUUUAUAAUGUAUUAAAAAAUAAUUGUAUACAACUAUCACAUUACAUCCUAUUUAUUGCCAGAGUUAGGAGUAAUGACAUUAAAAGCAACAAAUAACAAAAUUUAAAACUCACGAUUUCACGGCCUCUCAUAUCUGGUUCCUGAUUGGCCAGGUCCUCUCAUAGUGAUGCACGUGACCGUUAAGGACCAGGUUCACUCCGUGUUCCACCAGUAAAGUCUCGUAAUACUCCCGCCACCAGGUACACUCCGUGUUCCACCAGUAAAGUCUCGUAAUACUCCCACCACCAGGUCCACUCCGUGUUCCACCAGUAAAGUCUCGUAAUACUCCCACCACCAGGUACACUCCGUGUUCCACCAGUAAAGU